RNAcentral lists this unclassified non-coding RNA (87 nucleotides) under Pseudomonas synxantha. Lineage: Bacteria; Pseudomonadati; Pseudomonadota; Gammaproteobacteria; Pseudomonadales; Pseudomonadaceae. The record is from RNAcentral.
GUGGGAGGGGGCUUGCUCCCGAUGGCUGAGUGUCAGUCAGUAUCUGCUUGACUGAUACACCGCUAUCGGGGGCAAGCCCCCUCCCAC